GAGUUUGAUCAUGGCUCAGAUUGAACGCUGGCGGCAUGCCUUGCACAUGCAAGUCGAACGGCAGCACGGGAGCUUGCUCCUGGUGGCGAGUGGCGAACGGGUGAGUAAUGCAUCGGAACGUAUCCUGGAGUGGGGGAUAACGUAGCGAAAGUUACGCUAAUACCGCAUAUUCUGUGAGCAGGAAAGCGGGGGACCUUCGGGCCUCGCGCUCUUGGAGCGGCCGAUGUCGGAUUAGCUAGUUGGUGAGGUAAAGGCUCACCAAGGCGACGAUCCGUAGCAGGUCUGAGAGGAUGAUCUGCCACACUGGAACUGAGACACGGUCCAGACUCCUACGGGAGGCAGCAGUGGGGAAUUUUGGACAAUGGGGGCAACCCCGAUCCAGCCAUGCCGCGUGAGUGAAGAAGGCCUCGG
RNAcentral lists this ribosomal RNA (411 nucleotides) under bacterium enrichment culture clone ALO1_GLFRUDD03GQY57. Its description in RNAcentral is "bacterial SSU rRNA". It matches the Rfam family "Bacterial small subunit ribosomal RNA", at positions 9 to 420 of the family's 1533-position model. The record is from RNAcentral.